AGAUUAUGACCGUCCUGCUUUGACAUGCCCUGCAACAAAAGGCCGUUCUGCAUUCUGACACUGUACUCCCCCCCCCUCCACCAUCCAUAAAAGCCUGUGGUUGCCGCGCUUACGGUCCAUAAUUUGAGGCAUCAGCCCCAAAUCAUGGCCGCAUCUGCCACCCAGAGGAAAAUAAAAACAAAGCUGUGCAAACAAGGUCAGCCCAAACAAGAGGGCAGACUAAUACCCAGAGGAAUGUUCGCGAGGCGCCAUGCCUCGGGCUGCAGCGGCCCUGGGAUCAGCGCAUGACGGAGUGUGAGUGAGAAGCUACGCUCUUUUCAGGCUUUGUAGAUUCACUCCUGGUCGACGGAUGAAAAUAUGAAAGUUAUGUGAACUCUGACCUGCUGAAAAGUAACCGGAGAGAGUAGAAAAGUAGUGGGGGAUUACAGGGCGUCUACACAUUUUUCUGACGCUUCUUUUUUUUUUACUUUCUUUUUGGUCAGUAUUUUCUUUAUUAGCCUUGGUUUGCAAUAUUUCAAUAUGAAACAUGGAGAGGAGAGCAAUUUAAAAGGAAGAUAGUGAAUAAAGUAUGAAAAUGUAGAUUGGUUUAAUAAUUUUUUUUCUCCCCCUGGAAGAGAUUGGAGGAUGGAUAUGACUUUUUUAAAGAAUAGGUAAUUUAAUAUUGAAAUAUGAAUACAUCUCUAUUCUUUCGGGGGGGUUCCCACACAGAUGAAUGGAAGAUAGCCAGAUGAAAACAUCUGUUAUAGAAUGAAAAAAAAUAACCAUUCUCUCAUAAUCCCUUUUGGGUUUUUAAAAAAAACAAAAAAAAAAACAGUUGCGGAUGGGAUAGAGCGGGUUACAGUCCGGAAAUAAUUUUUUUCCGUUUCCUUUUCAGAAACUUAUCCAGGUCUGCGUAAGGUGCACUUUCACUGAAACGGACCAAUAGGAAGUAAGGUCUGCUUCGUUUGCAUUUAGGUUUAAAGUGGGAAAGUUGAUCCCGCUUUCACUAAUUACUCCCAAGAAGGGGACCUGCAACAGCCUGUAUUAAAGUUGAUUUUCAGAACCGACACUAACAGAACUCAAGCACUGUGGAACUCUUAAGGUAAAAAUGAGAGCACACGCAGGACACGUCAUGGGAAAGGCGCCGCUGAGUGGCCGACAUCCAGUCUCCUCUGUGCAGAGCCUCUUUUCCGAGCGGCUGGCACAGCACUCACUACACUUCCCAGAGUUCCUGGGGUCUGGAAGAACGCUUUGGAAGAGGAAGCUGUGGUGUCCUUGGGGGUAUGUGGAGUCUGAGAAAAGAGAGCAGAAGAAAGGUGUGACUGGAAAACCCAUAACGAUGGUGUGUACAUCAAGCUAUAGUUUAGUUCACUCAAGCAAAUGGAAGAAAGUGGUCUGUUUGGACCAGACCCAAACAGAACCUUUUGACCAACAAACAAAAUGUAACGCGCAGCAGAAACAUGAAGCAUGGUUGUGGCAGCAUCAUAAUUCCGUAUGAGUGAAUUUGAAGACGGAAGCAGGAGAAAGAGAAAGACCGAGGUUC
This is a long non-coding RNA of Gambusia affinis (western mosquitofish), 1522 nucleotides long. RefSeq lists it as uncharacterized. The transcript has 3 exons. The record is from RefSeq and is a predicted model, not a curated record. NCBI's taxonomy places the organism in Eukaryota, Metazoa, Chordata, Actinopteri, Cyprinodontiformes, Poeciliidae.